GACGAACGCUGGCGGCGUGCUUAACACAUGCAAGUCGAACGGUAAGGCCCUUCGGGGUACACGAGUGGCGAACGGGUGAGUAACACGUGGGUGAUCUGCCCCGCACUUCGGGAUAAGCCUGGGAAACUGGGUCUAAUACCGGAUAGGACCACUGCCUGCAUGGGUGGUGGUGGCAAGCUUUUGCGGUGUGGGAUGGGUCCGCGGCCUAUCAGCUUGUUGGUGGGGUGAUGGCCUACCAAGGCGACGACGGGUAGCCGGCCUGAGAGGGUGACCGGCCACACUGGGACUGAGAUACGGCCCAGACUCCUACGGGAGGCAGCAGUGGGGAAUAUUGCACAAUGGGCGCAAGCCUGAUGCAGCGACGCCGCGUGAGGGAUGACGGCCUUCGGGUUGUAAACCUCUUUCAGCACCGACGAAGCGCAAGUGACGGUAGGUGCAGAAGAAGGACCGGCCAACUACGUGCCAGCCGCCGCCGUAA
RNAcentral lists this ribosomal RNA (478 nucleotides) under uncultured bacterium. RNAcentral describes it as "partial 16S ribosomal RNA". It matches the Rfam family "Bacterial small subunit ribosomal RNA", at positions 28 to 523 of the family's 1533-position model. The record is from RNAcentral.